Molecule: long non-coding RNA, 791 nt
Filed under: Mus musculus (house mouse)
Lineage: Eukaryota; Metazoa; Chordata; Mammalia; Rodentia; Muridae
Description: long non-coding RNA chr16:49911461-49912252
Source: RNAcentral
GUUGCCAUCAUUCACACACACCCCUUUGACAUACAGUGCACCCCAGUUUUGAAUACAUUUUUUUUGCACCCUGUCCCGUUCUGCUACUUUGAUUUGCGUUAUGAUAUAUAUAUAUAUAUAUAAUACCUUUUCUCCUCUUUAAACAUGGUCCUGUGACACAAUAGUCAGUUGCAGAAAGGAGCCAGACUUAUUCGCAAAGCACUGUGCUCAAACUCUUCAGAAAAAAAGGAAAAAAAAAAAAAGCUAUAGUUGUAACAUAUGUAUUCCAGACCUCUGGUUUAAAGGCAAAAGAAAAAAAAUCUACAGUGUUUCUUCUCAUGUUUUCUGAUCGGAGGCAUGACAAAGCAAGACUGAAAUCUGAACUGUGUCUCCUGCAUGGCAACACGUGUCUCCGUCAGGCCCUCGCAAGGCCCGGGGAGGGGGUUCUACGCCUCUUGUCUCUUUGUUGCAUGCUGAACACUCAUCGCCUUCCUACUGUAUCCUGCCUCCUGCAGCCUCCCUCUUCCUCCUCCUCUUCCUCUUCCUCCUCUUCCUCCUCCUCCUCCUCUUCCUCCAAGUUUGAAAGGUCAAACAAAACUACCACAUUCCCUACCCAGUUAGAAGAAAACCACCGUCCUGACAGUUGUGAUCGCAUGGAGUACUUUUAGAUUAUUAGCACCUGUUUUUACCUCGUUUGUGGGCGUGUUUGUAUGUGCACAUGUAUGAAGUCGGCACAUGCACCUUCUGUAUGGGCAGAGGCGUGGCAUCUACAGAAGAGCAGAUGCCAACUUUGUGCUUUUAGUGAAUACAUU